GAUGAACGCUGGCGGCGUGCCUAAUACAUGCAAGUCGAGCGAACGGACGAGAAGCUUGCUUCUCUGAUGUUAGCGGCGGACGGGUGAGUAAGAUGUGGAUAACCUACCUAUAAGACUGGGAUAACUUCGGGAAACGGGAGCUAAUACCGGAUGAUAUUUUGAACCGCAUGGUUCAAAAGUGAAAGACGGGCUUGCUGUCACUUAUAGAUGGAGCCGUGCUGCAUUAGCUAGUUGGUAAGGUAACGGCUUACCAAGGCAACGAUGCAUAGCCGACCUGAGAGCGUGAUCGGCCACACUGGAACUGAGACACGGUCCAGACUCCUACGGGAGGCAGCAGUAGGGAAUCUUCCGCAAUGGGCGAGAGCCUGACGGAGCAAAGCCGCGUGAGUGAUGAAGGUCUUCGGAUCGUAAAACUCUGUUAUUAGGGAAGAACAUAUGUGUAAGUAACUGUGCACAUCUUGACGGUACCUAAUCAGACAGCCACGGCUAACUACGUG
Molecule: ribosomal RNA, 497 nt
Filed under: uncultured bacterium
Lineage: Bacteria
Description: partial 16S ribosomal RNA
Rfam family: Bacterial small subunit ribosomal RNA
Source: RNAcentral